Molecule: ribosomal RNA, 253 nt
Filed under: uncultured bacterium
Lineage: Bacteria
Description: partial 16S ribosomal RNA
Rfam family: Bacterial small subunit ribosomal RNA
Source: RNAcentral
UACAGAGGUCCCGAGCGUUGUUCGGAUUCAUUGGGCGUAAAGAGCUCGUAGGCGGUUUGUCGCGUCUGCCGUGAAAGUCCGGGGCUCAACUCCGGAUCUGCGGUGGGUACGGGCAGACUAGAGUGAUGUAGGGGAGACUGGAAUUCCUGGUGUAGCGGUGAAAUGCGCAGAUAUCAGGAGGAACACCGAUGGCGAAGGCAGGUCUCUGGGCAUUAACUGACGCUGAGGAGCGAAAGCAUGGGGAGCGAACAGG